This 310-nucleotide long non-coding RNA is filed under the name Olea europaea (common olive). Its description in RNAcentral is "long non-coding RNA (OEUR_LNC001572)". The record is from RNAcentral. Lineage: Eukaryota; Viridiplantae; Streptophyta; Magnoliopsida; Lamiales; Oleaceae.
CUGAGUAAAUCGGAGUGCAACAAGGAUGAAGUAGGAAAAUUUCUCAAUAGAUAGUUGAACUUCGCCUAAACAAAACUGGGAUCAAUGACAACAAAUUUACAGAUCUAAAUGCCCUUAUAUCAGGAUGGAAUUCUAGGAUCCUUCCAAAAGAAAAUUUGCACCUUAAAAUGCAUGAGCAGAUCAAGACGCUUAUGAUUAGAGUUCCUGGGACAGUUGGUUCCUUUACUGUUUUCUGAAUGUAGAAACAGAAUGGGCAGCUCUCAGCUCAUGAAUCCAUAUCAUUUAAGACUGCACAUUACUCGACAGUCCC